Molecule: long non-coding RNA, 1255 nt
Organism: Oncorhynchus nerka (sockeye salmon)
Lineage: Eukaryota; Metazoa; Chordata; Actinopteri; Salmoniformes; Salmonidae
Exons: 3
Source: RefSeq, a predicted model, not a curated record
UUGUGUAACUGGUUUGGUAACAGCAGAUCGACUGUACUACUAAAAGACAUCAUUCAAGCAGCAAGACAUUCAUCUAUCUGACAACAAAAACAUCAAUUUUCUGAGGAGAAAGAAGAACAGACUCUCGCGCCAUGGUUUGACUUCUGAUCAAAGCCAGCAUCUGGACGGUGAGGAAGAUUCGGGCCCACAUUGCUGAGGGAGAGCAAGAGGAGAAGCCCAUCUUCACACCAUGUGGUGUUAUUGGCUUUAAGAAGGAGCAGUUGACAUCAGGUUCUGAUCCACCGGUGGCCGUAAUGACCCCUGAACCUGAUGAUGGUAUCGCUAACGGCGGCCCGUCAUCAGAGACAGCCGUGCAGAAGUGCGGAUCCUGAGGUUAAAGGUCACACUGGAUAACUGGUUGGGACCAAUAAAUUAUUAUUAAGCAUGUCUUGAAAAGGAUGCAUUCACAGAACUGUAUGUCGACAGACGCAGUCUCCUUGUUCGAAAAACUUUUGUACGUUAAUUCUACUUCCCUGAUCUGGACUGUCUAUAAACAACAUUCUCAUACAUUAUUCUGAUACGUCUUCAUUUCUUCUUCAGAAGUUUGGAUUAUGUAUUAUAUUACUAGAUAUAACUGCAUUGUUGGAGCUAGAAACAAGAAUUUUGCUGCACCUGCAAAUCUGUACGCGACCAAUAAACUUUGAUAACUUUUUUGUAUAGCCAAACAUGCUCUUACUUAACUUUGCUAUCCUUAAUCAAAGCAUUCCCAUAGAAAAUGUCACUACGACCAUAAUGAUGACUAGUUUUGAGACCAAAUUAUGACAUAAGUCAUUCCAUUUAAUUUACGUUUUGUAGGUUUCUGAACCCAAGUAUGCUAAUACGAUAUUGCAAAUAAAAAGUUGAUUAUUUACUGAUCUAUAGAAGAUAUUCUUUAACAGCCCUCCAACUGGAAAAAUGUUUGUUUUCAUGCCCUUGCUGUCCCAGCCUCUGUCCAGUGUGCCCAUACUCAGUCGACCAAAUACUAAGCUGAGAUACUUGCUGUAAUUCCAACUUUCAGUCACUAAGUCAGUGUGAAGAUUGUGAAGUUAUGACAUUUUCAUAUACACGGAUCUCAGGUUAAUAUUGGGUCCAGUGAGCUCUGUUUAACCUCUGACACCAGAUGACCCUUUAUGGCUGCAGCGUGUGACGACCUGCUCACCAACCCCUCCACCCAGGGACUGAGCUGUUCUGAUGCCCCUGCUGCAGCUUCCCUAAUAAAAACUUUAACUAUCUGGUA